GAAAAACUUCAGGUUGUUGGAAGAAUUUAACAAAAUGCAAAUAUUGAGUUGAAAAUCCCUUUGAUGGAAGAAUAAGUCGAAAGCUGUUCCUGAGACUCGAACCCACAACUUCUGUAAACAAGCGUAGCUUUCGAUUUUUUUGUAUCCGAAGCGAUUUUCAACCGAUAUUUACAUGCUGUUCAUUUAUAGCUUUAUCUGCUUCGAGAACCACUAUUACAAAAAAAUUUUGCAAGUUCUCUCGAAAGUUUAUCUAUUCUAAUGAUCGCAUUAUUUUAUUUAUUUAUUUGCUAUGUUUAUAGAGUUUUGUUUUUGUUUUUCACAGACCUUUUGGAAUCGAAGACGUCCAAUAAUAAACUUUCAAAUCAAGAAGUGGAAGGUGUAAGCAAAAUAUAAUAUUUUAAGCCGCAUAUAAAAACAUCGCAGCGACUCGAAUUUCUACUACUACUACUACUACUACUGCGGCUAUCGCUGUUGUUAUAUAGUGUUAUCUCUGUCGUCGCCAUGGGUGAUCGAUACAACAUCCACAGCCAGUUGGAACAUCUGCAAUCGAAAUACAUCGGAACUGGACACGCGGAUACAAAUAAAUGGGAAUGGCUGACGAAUCAACACAGGGACAGCUACGCUUCCUACCUUGGCCAUUUUGAUAUGCUCAAUUAUUUCUCGCUGGUGGAAAACGAAUCGAAGGCUCGCGUCCGUUUCAAUCUGAUGGAAAAAAUGGUACAGCCAUGUGGUCCGCCUCCCGAAAGACCAGAAGAUUAAAUCACAUCGGACUCUACCCACUCCCCCUCUUUUUUUUUUAUCUUAUAUGUAUAUAUAAAUAUUUUUUUUUUCAAUUUCAUUCAUAUUUUCUUAUCAUUUUACAAUUGUUAAUUUUUUCUCUUUCUCCCGCCAUCUUCAUUUCACACCCCAUUACACACACAGACGCAUUGACACAUGCAUUUGUAAUUUUCCGGCCCAGUUUCGAUCUCAACUAAUAUUUUUCCGGCGUGUCCAGUGGCUUUUAACUAAGUCGAAUCACCCAGUCAUUUAGGAUCUUAGUUAAAGACUAUUUAUUUCAGUCAUGUUGCUACUACCCUUACAUAAGACGUGAUCAAUUCACACACACUUUCUCUCUCUCUCCCUCUCUCUCUCUCUCUACCCCUAAAAAACGUAGGACCUAAAUAAUAAAUAAAAAUAUGAUAACACAGGCUUCGUACUCACGAAAACAACAACAGUCUUAAAGAAGAAGGGACACAUUGCUUUAAUUCAGUUAUAUUAAUGUGGGAAAAAGAUGAAGUGGACUUUAGAAUGCUUUAUAUAUCUGUUCAGAGUUGACCUGGAGCUAAGCAACAAGAAGCUAAAAUUAACCAUCAACGCGAUGGCGUGUCCAAUCCAUCUGCAGUUAAGGCUGGAGGUGAGAGAGCACGGCCGUAAGCCAUUUUCACUUUCACUUUAAGCCUGGUUGGAUGUCUUCAGAAUGAACACAAAUGUCUCGGCGUCUCCUGUUUUAUUGUGUCAUCGCAGUUAAGGGCCUGUGUGUACGAAACCACUGUUUACUCUAAAACUAGCCACCAUCACUAAAACUCCUCCCGCUACUCAGUGCUAUUGUAAACAAACUCACGCACGCACUCACCAACGAACGGUUCCAGCGGACUUGGCGGUUUGUUUAUUUACAUAUUACAAAAGCAGCAGAACGUGACUGAUUCAUUGUCAUGGGCCUUUAUUGAUAUUAGUUUUAGCUACAGCAAUUUUUGUUUUCUUUUUAAUAUUUACCAUAAUCAUUUUGAGUUAUUAUUUAUUAAUUUUUUUUUAUUAAGAUCGUUAUAUUAAUAAUUUUACUUAGAAAGUUCAAACACAAAUACAUUUACAUAUAUUUUUUUUUAUUCAUAUUUGUCAAUUUAUCAAUAAACCUUGUCAUUUGAGCAAAGAUUUUUAUCAUCUGGACUUCAAAUGUUUUCCUUUGAUUUCCUUCAGAUGUUUUAAGUGUCUUUUUCUUCUUUUUUUUUUCUUUGGAGGCACAUGGCUUAGUGGUUAAAGUGUUGGGCUGUUGAUCAUAAGAUUGUGGUUUCAAUUCCUGGGCCUGACAUUGCAUUGUGUACUUGAGCAUAACACUUCAUUUCACAUUGCUUCAGUAGACCCAGCUACCAAAAGUGAGUAAUCCUGCAACAGACCAGCUUCCCAUCUAGGGGAGUUGGGAUAUAUAUGUCAGAGAAUCCAAGCAGCUGGCCCUAUGAGCCUUUAU
RNAcentral lists this long non-coding RNA (2221 nucleotides) under Octopus vulgaris (common octopus). Lineage: Eukaryota; Metazoa; Mollusca; Cephalopoda; Octopoda; Octopodidae. The record is from RNAcentral.